Molecule: ribosomal RNA, 251 nt
Filed under: uncultured bacterium
Lineage: Bacteria
Description: partial 16S ribosomal RNA
Rfam family: Bacterial small subunit ribosomal RNA
Source: RNAcentral
ACGUAGGGGGCGAGCGUUAUCCGGAAUUACUGGGUGUAAAGGGUGCGUAGGCGGUACGGCAAGUUUGAUGUGAAACCCGCGGGCUUAACCCGAGGCAUGCAUCGAAAACUACUGAACUAGAGUGCAGGAGAGGAAAGCGGAAUUCCUAGUGUAGCGGUGAAAUGCGUAGAUAUUAGGAAGAACACCAGUGGCGAAGGCGGCUUUCUGGACUGCAACUGACGCUGAGGCACGAAAGCGUGGGGAGCAAACAG